RNAcentral lists this ribosomal RNA (301 nucleotides) under uncultured bacterium. RNAcentral's name for it is "partial 16S ribosomal RNA". It matches the Rfam family "Bacterial small subunit ribosomal RNA", at positions 509 to 807 of the family's 1533-position model. The record is from RNAcentral.
CAGCAGCCGCGGUAAUACGGAGGGAGCUAGCGUUGUUCGGAAUUACUGGGCGUAAAGCGCGCGUAGGCGGUUACUCAAGUCGGAGGUGAAAGCCCGGGGCUCAACCCCGGAACUGCCUUUGAAACUAGGUGACUAGAAUCUUGGGGAGGUCAGUGGAAUUCCGAGUGUAGAGGUGAAAUUCGUAGAUAUUCGGAAGAACACCAGUGGCGAAGGCGACUGACUGGACAAGUAUUGACGCUGAGGUGCGAAAGCGUGGGGAGCAAACAGGAUUAGAUACCCCUGUAGUCCCUGUCUCUUAUAC